Molecule: long non-coding RNA, 244 nt
Filed under: Nicotiana benthamiana
Lineage: Eukaryota; Viridiplantae; Streptophyta; Magnoliopsida; Solanales; Solanaceae
Description: long non-coding RNA (NBEN_LNC040165)
Source: RNAcentral
UUAUUUAUCAAACAUCUACCAAAGAUUGUUUUGAAGAUGGUGCACAAGAUUGGAAUGAAAAUUCUCAAGGAUAUAAAUUGAUGUUCUUAUCAGGGGGAGUUAAUACGCGUUGCACUCUUUUUCUCUUACAAGGUUUUAUCCCAACUGGGUUUUCCUCGCGAGGUUUUUAACGAGGCAACCAAUAGGCGCAUAUUCAAACAUGUGUACUCUUUUUCCUUCUCUUUAAUUUUUCCCAUUGGGUUUU